CCUGUUCUUCAUUAAUAAGGAAAAAAUUAACUUCUGGAAAAACCUGAUUGCUUAUUUGGCAAAUUACAGAGAAGGUCAUUUAACCAGUUCCCAGCAUUGGCUAUGAGAUGAGGGACCCAGCCGGGAGGAUGGCUAAGCUGCUUCUGGCUUUCUGCUGCCUUGUGCCAAUAAAGGAAGGGCCUCCCUGAUGGUGCUCCUGGCCUUCAAAGCAAUCUCAUACUGAAAGCUGGUGCUUCAGUUACAUGCACUCAAAGGAGAAGAAUCUACUUUGAAUGGAAAGCUCCCGGUCUCUUAGCAGAACCUUUCUAUGCUGACUGUGGCCUUGGCUCAAGCAACAGCAAUUGCAGCUCCUGCUGGUUCUACUAAGGAGGUAAAAAUAAAGGCGACUCGCUUUCAGAGCUUCGCUCUUGUGACCAGGCUGGAGUACAAUGGCACA
RNAcentral lists this long non-coding RNA (436 nucleotides) under Homo sapiens (human). RNAcentral describes it as "HSALNT0347963". The record is from RNAcentral. Lineage: Eukaryota; Metazoa; Chordata; Mammalia; Primates; Hominidae.